This 455-nucleotide ribosomal RNA is filed under the name uncultured bacterium. Its description in RNAcentral is "SSU rRNA". It matches the Rfam family "Bacterial small subunit ribosomal RNA", at positions 26 to 518 of the family's 1533-position model. The record is from RNAcentral.
AGAACGAACGCUGGCGGCAUGCCUAACACAUGCAAGUCGAACGUGAUCCAGGCUUCGGCCUGGUGAAAGUGGCAGACGGGUGAGUAACGCGUGGGAACCUGCCCUGUGGUAGGGAAUAACCGUGGGAAACUGCGGCUAAUACCCUAUGAGUCCUUCGGGAGAAAGAUUUAUCGCCAUAGGAGGGGCCCGCGUCGGAUUAGGUAGUUGGUGGGGUAACGGCCUACCAAGCCUUCGAUCCGUAGCUGGUCUGAGAGGAUGAUCAGCCACACUGGGACUGAGAUACGGCCCAGACUCCUACGGGAGGCAGCAGUGGGGAAUAUUGGACAAUGGGCGCAAGCCUGAUCCAGCCAUGCCGCGUGGAUGAUGAAGGCCUUAGGGUUGUAAAGUCCUUUUAACGGGGAAGAUAAUGACGGUACCCGUAGAAUAAGCCCGGCUAACUUCGCGCCAGCAGCCGC